AAAGUGGCAGAAGCUGGGACCAUCCAACUCUAAAGCCCACAUUCUUAGACAUUAGGGGAUAUUGAAUGAAGUGUGUGUAUGUAUGGGGGAAUUUAAGAGAAUAUCAAACCAUUUGUAGAGUUCUACCCAAUAUAGAGACCUUAUCUAAUGUAAGAGAACUCUGAAGACAUCUCAUUGAUUGAAUGCUCUCCCCUUCAUAGCAACUUCUUCUGCGGCUUCCUUGCCUGGUGCUCCAGUCUUUGAGGGAAGCACGGCUGGCACGUUCUUCCGUUUGGAGACAUGGUUGACAAUUUCUCCAUAAUGGGGACACAACUGGCAAUUUUCCUACAGAGUGAGGCAGAUGGCAAUUUUCCUUCAGAGACAUGCAGGCAACAGUUUUGCCCCUGGAGAGAAAAGCCUCGCCGAUUGAGAUGCAGCCAGUAAUUUUUACUAUACAGAAGACACAUCCAAUAAUUUUGCCCAGUGAGAGAAACGGCCAACAAUUUUCCCACAGAGGACAGGAAAAACAGACCAAAAAUUCAUAGUGGGGAGAAGUGAGGAGCAAAUGGGCUGGUAUGACCAAGAAAGACUUAAUAAGAAGCUGAGCCUUAAAUGAUCAAGAAGCACUGGAUAGAUAAGAGCACUGUUCACAAUAGCCAAGAUUUGGAAGCAACCUAAGUGUUCACCAACUGAUGAAUGGAUAAAGAAAA
This 689-nucleotide long non-coding RNA is filed under the name Homo sapiens (human). RNAcentral describes it as "HSALNT0330052". The record is from RNAcentral. Lineage: Eukaryota; Metazoa; Chordata; Mammalia; Primates; Hominidae.